This 694-nucleotide ribosomal RNA is filed under the name Shewanella frigidimarina. RNAcentral describes it as "bacterial SSU rRNA". It matches the Rfam family "Bacterial small subunit ribosomal RNA", at positions 91 to 780 of the family's 1533-position model. The record is from RNAcentral. Lineage: Bacteria; Pseudomonadati; Pseudomonadota; Gammaproteobacteria; Alteromonadales; Shewanellaceae.
ACGAGCGGCGGACGGGUGAGUAAUGCCUAGGGAUCUGCCCAGUCGAGGGGGAUAACAGUUGGAAACGACUGCUAAUACCGCAUACGCCCUACGGGGGAAAGGAGGGGACCUUCGGGCCUUCCGCGAUUGGAUGAACCUAGGUGGGAUUAGCUAGUUGGUGAGGUAAUGGCUCACCAAGGCGACGAUCCCUAGCUGUUCUGAGAGGAUGAUCAGCCACACUGGGACUGAGACACGGCCCAGACUCCUACGGGAGGCAGCAGUGGGGAAUAUUGCACAAUGGGGGAAACCCUGAUGCAGCCAUGCCGCGUGUGUGAAGAAGGCCUUCGGGUUGUAAAGCACUUUCAGUAGGGAGGAAAGGUAAUAGUUUAAUAAACUAUUACUGUGACGUUACCUACAGAAGAAGGACCGGCUAACUCCGUGCCAGCAGCCGCGGUAAUACGGAGGGUCCGAGCGUUAAUCGGAAUUACUGGGCGUAAAGCGUUGCGCAGGCGGUUUGUUAAGCCAGAUGUGAAAUCCCCGGGCUCAACCUGGGAAUUGCAUUUGGAACUGGCGAACUAAAGUCUUGUUAGAGGGGGGUAGAAUUCCAGGUGUAGCGGUGAAAUGCGUAAAUAUCUUGGAGGAAUACCGGUGGCGAAGGCGGCCCCUGGACAAAGAAUGACGCUCAUGCACAAAGCGUGGGGAGCAAACAGGAUUU